This 837-nucleotide long non-coding RNA is filed under the name Equus asinus (donkey). RNAcentral's name for it is "lncRNA (ENSEASG00005024887.1)". Lineage: Eukaryota; Metazoa; Chordata; Mammalia; Perissodactyla; Equidae. The record is from RNAcentral.
ACAGUUCCAGAAUUUGUUUGAUUGGGAAGAUCCUUUCACUCAAGGGAUUUAAUUAAAGAAAGAACAACGCUCACAGACAGCAAUGCAAAAGAAGUGUCUCUAUUGUUCCAACUGGUGCCAUUGUUUGAUGGGAGAAAGCCCAGGGACAUGAAAAGAAAGAAGUCCACUGCCUUGAUCGUCUGAGCAAGUCAGAAGACACCUGGGGACUAGAUGGUGAAAUAAACACACUCCUUAGUGUUGGUCUCAAUCAGCGAGCGCUGGAAAGGACACCCAGGAGACUAAGAUACUCGGUGGUGCACAUAGAGGUAGCUCCCUACUGCCUCCUUGAUCGUCACGGAAGCACACCAGAAGUUUUGUCUUAGCAGCCCACGCAGAGUGAAGAAUCCUCCAGAAUGAAGAGCGGCAUAAGCCCUCCAAAGAGAACAGAGCUAUCGGCAGCCUGAUGUGUUUUCAAAUUGAAAGCUGGGUAGUGCUUUUUCUUUUUUAGAUAUACACUUUGCUAUAAAAUAAAAUGCCACAAUCAACAGUUGGAUUUCACUGUUAUAACUUGUUCAGUUCCUUUAAAUUAAAUUGUGGUUAAAACCUGAAACAGACAUGCCUUUUUUUUUUAAUAAAAUGAAAGUAAAAGAUUGAUGAGCAGAAGAAAGAAGUGGUGAAUUCCCUGUCCUUCCUACCCAAAGCUGAUGACGGUGACCGAGCAGUUCCAAGAAUUGGAGGAAGUCAGGAUUUUGUCUACUUUCAACUGAUUUCAAAGAAAGAAGUUCCUUUGAGCAAUGACAGUCAUCUUGAAGGUAAAGAAUAAAGAAAAGAAAAGAAAUGCUAGAAAGGUGACUACCU